GAUGAACGCUGGCGGCGUGCCUAAUACAUGCAAGUCGAGCGAACGGACGAGAAGCUUGCUUCUCUGAUGUUAGCGGCGGACGGGUGAGUAACACGUGGAUAACCUACCUAUAAGACUGGGAUAACUUCGGGAAACCGGAGCUAAUACCGGAUAAUAUUUUGAACCGCAUGGUUCAAAAGUGAAAGACGGUCUUGCUGUCACUUAUAGAUGGAUCCGCGCUGCAUUAGCUAGUUGGUAAGGUAACGGCUUACCAAGGCAACGAUGCAUAGCCGACCUGAGAGGGUGAUCGGCCACACUGGAACUGAGACACGGUCCAGACUCCUACGGGAGGCAGCAGUAGGGAAUCUUCCGCAAUGGGCGAGAGCCUGACGGAGCAACGCCGCGUGAGUGAUGAAGGUCUUCGGAUCGUAGAACUCUGUUAUUAGGGAAGAACAUAUGUGUAAGUAACUGUGCACAUAUUGACGGUACCUAAUCAGAAAGCCACGGCUAACUACGUG
Molecule: ribosomal RNA, 497 nt
Filed under: uncultured bacterium
Lineage: Bacteria
Description: partial 16S ribosomal RNA
Rfam family: Bacterial small subunit ribosomal RNA
Source: RNAcentral